GCAGUGGUGGUUCAGUGGUAGAACUCUUGCCUUCCACAUGGGAGGCCCAGGUUCAAUUUCCGGCCAAUGCA
Molecule: transfer RNA, 71 nt
Filed under: Loxodonta africana (African savanna elephant)
Lineage: Eukaryota; Metazoa; Chordata; Mammalia; Proboscidea; Elephantidae
Rfam family: tRNA
About the family: Transfer RNA (tRNA) molecules are approximately 80 nucleotides in length. Their secondary structure includes four short double-helical elements and three loops (D, anti-codon, and T loops).
Source: Rfam by way of RNAcentral